GAUGAACGCUGGCGGCGUGCUUAACACAUGCAAGUCGAACGGAAAGGCCCAAGCUUGCUUGGGUACUCGAGUGGCGAACGGGUGAGUAACACGUGGGUGAUCUGCCCUUCACUUCGGGAUAAGCCUGGGAAACUGGGUCUAAUACCGGAUAGGACCACAUUUUGGAUGGUGUGGUGGAAAGUUUUUCGGUGUGGGAUGAGCUCUCGGCCUAUCAGCUUGUUGGUGGGGUAAUGGCCUACCAAGGCGUCGACGGGUGGCCGGCCUGAGAGGGUGUACGGCCACAUUGCGACUGAGAAACGGCCCAGAGUCCUACCGGGGGCAGCAGGGGGGAAUAUUGGACAAUGGGCGCAAGCCUGAUGCAGAGACGCCGCGUGGGGGAUGACGGCCUUCGGGUUGUAAACUCCUUUCGCUAGGGACGAAGCGUGUUUGUGACGGUACCUGGAGAAGAAGCACCGGCUAACUACGUG
RNAcentral lists this ribosomal RNA (467 nucleotides) under uncultured bacterium. Its description in RNAcentral is "partial 16S ribosomal RNA". It matches the Rfam family "Bacterial small subunit ribosomal RNA", at positions 28 to 507 of the family's 1533-position model. The record is from RNAcentral.